Non-coding RNA from Ilex paraguariensis (yerba mate), 79 nucleotides. NCBI's taxonomy places the organism in Eukaryota, Viridiplantae, Streptophyta, Magnoliopsida, Aquifoliales, Aquifoliaceae. The record is from the annotation of a GenBank genome assembly.
GGAUGGCAAGAAGUGAAUCCGUGGAUAAGGCGCUGGUCUGCGGAACCAGAGAUUCUGGGUUUGAUCCCCAGCAGAAUCG